ACUUUGUGAGCCUCAUGCUCUGCCAGGGAGGAGGGAAAGCCGAGAGGAAGCAGAGACAGGACACCUGACCCAAACUGACCAAAGAGGUAUUCCAUACCACAGCACGUUAUGCCCAGUAUAUAAACUGGAGGCAGUUACCUGGAAGGGUGAGAUCACUGCUCAGGUCUGGCUGGGUACCGGUCAGCAGUUGUAUUCUCUCCCCUUGUUGUUUCCCUUAUCAUUAUUAUUAUUGGUGGUAGCAGUAGUGGUUUGUGUUAUACCUUAGUUACUGGACUGUUCUUAUCUCAACCCGUGGGAGUUGCGUUCUUUUGAUUCUUCUCCUCAUCCCUCCGGGAGC
Molecule: long non-coding RNA, 337 nt
Organism: Neopsephotus bourkii (Bourke's parrot)
Lineage: Eukaryota; Metazoa; Chordata; Aves; Psittaciformes; Psittacidae
Exons: 3
Source: RefSeq, a predicted model, not a curated record